UGCCGGGUUCAAACCCUUGCAGGCGCCGAGCUUUCUUGUUUGUUGAGGGCGGAGCUAAUGGCCGGGAAGUGUUGUUAGCGCGCGCCUUCCGGAUCGCGGCGCUCGCGGCCGUAGCCUUCGACUUUGGGGUAUUGCUUGGCCGCCGCCUGGUAGUCUGGCGGUUCAUUUGUUGCUUGGCCUCCUGGAGUUGUGGUCCGUGUGGGGUUCCACCUCAGACCCCCGCGCUGGCUCAGCCGGGCCGGAACAUGGCUGCGUCGGGUCUGGAUCAUCUCAAAAAUGGCUACAGAAGAAGAUUUUGUCGACCUUCCAGGGCACGUGACAUUAACACACAGCAAGGCCAGAAUGUUCUGGAAAUCUUACAAGACUGUUUUGAAGAACAAAGUCUUGCCAAUGAUUUUAGUACAAAUUCUACAAAAUCAGUGCUUUAUUCCACACACAAAAUAAAAGACACGUGUAUUCAGUCACGAAGCAAAGAGUGCCAGAAAUCACAUCCAAAGUCAGUUCCAGUUUCUUCAAGGAAGAAAGAAGCCUCUCUGCAGGUUGUUGUAGAACCAAGUGAAGCCACCAACAGAUCAGUUCAGGCCCAUGAAGUUCGUCAGAAAAUUCUGGCAACUGAUGUUAGUUCCAAAAAUACGUCUGACUCGAAAAAAAUGUCAAGUAGAAACAUAAAUGAUUAUCACAGUGAUGCUGGUGAAGAAUUUUACUUAUCUGUUGGCUCACCUUCUGUUCUUUUGGAUGCAAAAACAUCUGUAUCGCAAAAUGUUAUUCCAUCUAGUGCCCAAAAGAGAGAGAUUUACACUUUUGAAAAUUCAGUAAAUAUGCUGCCUUCAAGUACAGAGGUUUCACUUAAAACCAAAAAAAGGUUAAACUUUGAAGAUAAAGUUAUGUUAAAGAAAAUAGAAAUAGAUAAUAAAGUAUCAGAUGAAGAGUGUAAAACAUCAGAAGGACAAGAAAGAAAACCAUCAGGAUCAUCUCAGAAUAUAACACGAGAUUCAGAAUAUGAAAUUCAACGAAAAGCUAAAAAAAGUUUUUCAACAUUGUUUUUAGAAACAGUAAAACGAAAAAGUAAAUCCAGUCCCGUUGUUAGGCAUGCGGCAACUGCUCCACCUCAUUCGUGUCCUCCCGAUGAUAAGAAGGUGAUAGAGGAUGAAUUUAUAAUUGAUGAAUCAGAUCAAAGUUUUGCCAGUAGAUCUUGGAUUACAAUACCAAGAAAGGCAAGGCCUCUGAAACAAUGCCCGAUAUCUCCAGCUGAGAGCACUGCACUGCUUCAAAAUAGAAAGUCAAGAGAAAGGCGUCAUAAUAUAUUACCUAAGACUUUGGCAAAUGGCAAACAUUCUCAUGAACCUCACCCAGUAGAAGCAUCUCAGUCCUCUGAUAAAACAGUACUGGAUACAAGUUAUGCUUUGACAGGUGAAACGGAAAAUGAUUGUAGAUCUAUAAAAUAUGAAAUGUGUUCCAAGGAUGCAGAAAAAUCAUCUAGAAGCAAAAGGACUGUAAAACAGAAACAGAGAAGAAAAUUUAAGGCUAAACCAGCUGAAGAACAGCUUGAUGUGGGACAGUCUAAAGAUGAAAACAUACGUAUGUCACAUAGUACCCAAGACAAAUUUCAAAGAAAUACAGACAGAAAUAUGGAAGAGCGUGAAGAGAUAGGAAAUGAUUGUGUUUCCAAAAAACAGAUGUCACCUGUGGGAAGCAAGAAAAUUAGCGCUAGAAAAGAUAAGGGAGAAGCUAAAAAGAAGCACUUUUCCAGUGAGUCCAAGAACAAACUUGUGCCUGAAGAAGUGAUUUCAACUGUCACGAGAAGUCGAAGAAUUUCCAAGCGUCCAUCUGAUUGGUGGGUGGUAAAAUCAGAGGAGAGUCCUGUUUAUAGCAAUUCUUCAAUAAGGAAUGAAUUACCAGUGCUUCGCAACAGUAGACAAAAAUCUGCUAAGAAAACAAAUCAGUCAUCUAAGAAUAUUGGAGAAAAAACUAUUCCACUUAAAAGGCAGAAGACAACAACUAAAGGCAACCAAAGAGUACAGAAGUUUUUAAAUGCUAAAGGUUCUAGAGGUACCAUUGGUCAUGAUGAAAUUUCCAGUUGUUUGCUGAGUGAGCCACUGGAAAGUGAUGAGGAAGACUUGGCUAAGAAGAAAAAUCUUGAUUUUUCUAGAUCUACAAUAAGCUCAAACAAUGAAGAUAAUGUUAUGACUGCACAGCAUGUUCCCCUAAAGCCUCAGAAGAGUGGAUAUACAUAUAACACACCAACAGAAUCAAGCUUGGAUUCUGGAGAGCGUAAGACUUUAGUUUUAGAGGAAAGUGGACCUUCCAGGCUCAGUAAUAAUUAUUUGAUGUCUGGAAAGAAUAAUAAUGAUGUGGAUGAGGAGGAAGUUCAUGGAAGUUCAGAUAACUCAAAACGAUCUAAAGUGAUACCAAAGAACAGAAUCCAUCACAAACUAGUGUUGCCCUCCAACACACCAAAUGUUCGCAGGACCAAGAGAACACGUUUGAAACCUUUGGAGUACUGGCGAGGAGAGCGAAUAGAUUAUCAAGGAAGGCCAUCAGGAGGAUUCGUGAUUGGUGGAAUACUGUCUCCAGACACAGUGUCAUCUAAAAGGAAGGCAAAAGAAAAUAAUGGAAAAGUCGACAAAAAAUCUAAUAAGAAAAGGAUCUGUCUUGAUAACGAUGAAAGAAGUAUGAACUUAUUUCUGAAAGUAACUUUUAGAUUUUAUUUUAAAUAGGAGUACUUUGAGAAGAAGCUCUUUGCAAAAUAUGAAAUUUACUUCCAAAAACUUCAGAAAUAAUACCAUAGAGACUAGCUUAAUGGUAAAUCUAGGUGUACCUCUUGGAGAUCCUUUGCAGCCAACGAGGGUAAAGGACCCAGAAACAAGAGAGAUUAUUCUCAUGGAUCUUGUAAGGCCACAAGAUACAUAUCAAUUUUUUGUUAAGCAUGGUGAGUUGAAAGUAUAUAAGACAUUGGACACACCCUUUUUUUCUACUGGGAAAUUGAUAUUAGGACCACAAGAAGAAAAGGGAAAGCAGCAUGUUGGCCAAGAUAUAUUGGUUUUUUAUGUUAACUUUGGUGACCUUUUGUGUACUUUACACGAAACACCUUAUAUAAUAAGUACUGGGGAUUCGUUCUAUGUUCCUUCAGGUAACUAUUAUAACAUCAAAAAUCUCCUGAAUGAGGAAAGUGUUCUUCUUUUUACUCAGAUAAAAAGAUGAAAGAUCAACCAAGCUUAAAUAUGUGUGUAUAUAUAUGUAUAUGUGAAAACCAGUUUGUAUAGUUGGGACAUUUGUCUUUGUAAUUACUUGUGAUGUUUUAAAAUAAAAAUUUUAUUCAUUUUUGUGUAGACUUGUAUUUGAUAAACAUUUCUAACUCCCAUGUUUUUUCCGAUUUUUCAGUGACUAUACAUAAUAGCUUAUAGCGAUGCCCAUGUUUAUGGUAUUAUUUUUAUAAUUUGACAAGAAUACAAAAAUGAAAUAUAGAGCAUUUCUGUAUCAAAAGAGACCGAUUAAUAUGUCUAUUCAUUAAAAAACAUAUUUUCCAAAUAUGAAUUUUAAAUCAUUAAUUAUUAAAUAAUCCAAUGGGAGAAAACUGUGGUAAAUGACAUAUUUGUGUUAAUUUCCUAAAACUGCUGUAACAAAGUACCACAAAAUGAGUGAUUUAAAGCAACAGAAAUUUAUUAUCUCAGUUCUAGAGGCUAGAAGCCUGAAAUCAAGGUGUUGUCAGGGCUGUGAUGUGUUUGAAAACCUGUAAGGGAGAAUCCUUCCUUAUUCCUAACUUCUGUUGGUUUACUGGCAAUUUCUGGCAUUCCUUAACUUGCACUGGUAGCAUUUCAGUCUACUUGCAUUAUCACAUGGUAUUCUCACCUUCUGUGUCUGUGUUCGCAUGACAUCUCUUUAGUAUAUUACAUGUAAAUGUUUUUCCAUCAUGCUUUUUGGUUCAUAUUUUCUGUUGGAGGCAGUGUCUUUUGUCAUUGCUUUCUGUAUGUGGCCUCAACUUUCCCUCAAUAAAUAAACCUAAGCUAAAAAUUCUAUUCAAUAUUUUUGGUAUGGUUAGCAUAUAAUUAUCAUUAACUCUGGUUAAUUAGAAAAUUAGAAAAAUCAUUUAAAAAGGUGGGUUUUUUUUUUUUUUGGUUUUUGGUAUGGUUUUUGGAAUGGUUAGCAUAUAAUUAUCAUUAACUGAAGAAAUUGAUGUUUCAGAGUAAAUUAUUUUUAGGUCAACUCCCUUUUCAGGUCUUACAUAUUAAAUAUGCACAUUCAAAGCAACUCUGGUGUAGGACUUACAAAGAAUGAAGUGUGAUGGCCCUUUUUUUAUACUUUAUAAUUUUCUAUUGUGAUUUUUAUUGAAUCAUUUUUAUUUUUUUACCUUUAUUUCUUUGAAUAUAUUUGUUAUGAAGUCUUAUUGAAGGCUUGACUAAUCAGGUAUCUGGGCUCAUACAGAUUUAGUUUUCACUGAAUGCUUUUUUUCCUUUAGUGUAUUUCACUUCCCUAUGUUUUUACAUAUCUAAUAAUUUUUGGUUGACAGUUGGACAUUUUAGGUAGCAUAUUGUAGCAACUCAAUUUUGUCUUAUAUCUAAGGGAUUUGUAUUUUAAAUUUAGCAUUUUGACUGGACUCAAACUGUGGAAUCUAUGUUAUAUAUGAUGUGAAGUCUGCUCUGUGUUUAAAUUCUUUAUUUCAGUAUUUAUUCUUGCUUGCUAGGGGUAGUUCCUGUGUCUGCAUAGCUUAGCAGUCAGCCAAUCAUUUGGACAAAGGUUAAGAUCAAACACUUGAGUCUAGAAGCCUUCCACCCACUGUUGGUUGUUCUGUGUGGGAUGGGGGCUGCAUUCAGUGUAGCAGGCAGUUCCCAAAUCCCCCUUGGUUUUUACAUUUGCCAUGCUCUCUUGAGUCUCCUCUGUGCAUGCAUCAUUUCAGUUUGCCAAACAUGUUUGGAGAGCUCAUGUUACCCUUCUCCGCCCUUCUGUUUCCAGGACCUUGUUAAAUUUCUGGCUGCUCUGUUGCUCUUCAAGAACUAGGACUGUAAUCUUUGGUUAAUAACUACAGAUAUUCCUUGUCCAUUCCUAAGUGAUUUUUUUACUUUUGACUUACCGAGUCGUAGGUUUAUACCUCUGCUGUGAAUCAAGACUCCUCUUACAGCAAAGUUGCUAGUUUUCAGUUAACUACAGCCAGACAAAACUGUAGUUUUUACCGAUCAACCUAGGGGUGGGUGAGACCUCACUCAAGAAGGCCACAGAUUCCAACAAUUCUUUUCCAAAGCUUUAGCAACUUUUUUUUCUUUCUUUUCAUGUUUUUUUCCUUCUUUAUUUCUUUAUUUUUUUUUUUCUGGAGGCAGAGUUUCACUCUU
Molecule: RNA transcript, 5324 nt
Organism: Piliocolobus tephrosceles (Ugandan red Colobus)
Lineage: Eukaryota; Metazoa; Chordata; Mammalia; Primates; Cercopithecidae
Gene: CENPC
Gene name: centromere protein C
Exons: 19
Source: RefSeq, a predicted model, not a curated record